UGGGGAAUUUUCCGCAAUGGGCGAAAGCCUGACGGAGCAAUACCGCGUGAGGGAAGACUGCCUAUGGGUUGUAAACCUCUUUUUUCAGGGAGGAAUUUUGACGUGUACCUGAAGAAUAAGCAUCGGCUAACUCCGUG
RNAcentral lists this ribosomal RNA (137 nucleotides) under uncultured bacterium. RNAcentral describes it as "partial 16S ribosomal RNA". It matches the Rfam family "Bacterial small subunit ribosomal RNA", at positions 355 to 507 of the family's 1533-position model. The record is from RNAcentral.